AAAAAACUCUAUUAGAUUUUGACAAAGCAAUUUCACACAUACAUACAAAUGUCUGAAUUCUGAGCACUAUAAUUGCCAAUUUAAAAGAAAGCCAUUUGUAGAGAAUCCAAAUAUUCUCAAAAUAAAUUUGUAAAGAAUAUCCAAAGAAAGAAAUGGGUUAAAAAAAAAGACAAGAAUUGUAGGAAUUUCCAUUAUUAGAUAUAAAACUUUAAUUACAUUUCACUAUUUUUUUCUUUCUCCAACACAUUCAUGGAAGCAUGGUUGUUAUCUCCUUAUUAGACUCACCAUUGUCAAAUUAAUGAAAUGAAUCCUACAAUUGUCAUUGAGCAAGUGUUUUCCACUAUAUAUCAUCUAAUAUUGCAUAGUAAAAUUCCCAUCAAUUCCCCCAUUAACCCUAAUCACCUAACAUCAGGCCAAUUACUAAUCAUCGCCUUGGUAAGUUAUUGCUUCACUAACUAGAUAAUCAGACGUGAAUCCCUUCUCAAGCAGAUUCUUCUUUUUGUUUCUAUCAACCUAUUAAUAGUCGUUUCUAAUUGUUGUUCUCUCCCCACCACUUAUAUUAAAAUUUUAUUUUUUAUGUAAAUUUAUGUAAGUUGUCUGACUUAAUUUUUGUUUUUCUUGUAGAUUCAUUUGGAUUUGUCUAUUG
This 646-nucleotide unclassified non-coding RNA is filed under the name Hevea brasiliensis (rubber tree). Lineage: Eukaryota; Viridiplantae; Streptophyta; Magnoliopsida; Malpighiales; Euphorbiaceae. The record is from RNAcentral.